RNAcentral lists this ribosomal RNA (912 nucleotides) under Escherichia coli. RNAcentral describes it as "partial 23S ribosomal RNA". It matches the Rfam family "Bacterial large subunit ribosomal RNA", at positions 1917 to 2825 of the family's 2925-position model. Lineage: Bacteria; Pseudomonadati; Pseudomonadota; Gammaproteobacteria; Enterobacterales; Enterobacteriaceae. The record is from RNAcentral.
GCCCCGGUAAACGGCGGCCGUAACUAUAACGGUCCUAAGGUAGCGAAAUUCCUUGUCGGGUAAGUUCCGACCUGCACGAAUGGCGUAAUGAUGGCCAGGCUGUCUCCACCCGAGACUCAGUGAAAUUGAACUCGCUGUGAAGAUGCAGUGUACCCGCGGCAAGACGGAAAGACCCCGUGAACCUUUACUAUAGCUUGACACUGAACAUUGAGCCUUGAUGUGUAGGAUAGGUGGGAGGCUUUGAAGUGUGGACGCCAGUCUGCAUGGAGCCGACCUUGAAAUACCACCCUUUAAUGUUUGAUGUUCUAACGUUGGCCCCUUAUCGGGGUUGCGGACAGUGUCUGGUGGGUAGUUUGACUGGGGCGGUCUCCUCCUAAAGAGUAACGGAGGAGCACGAAGGUUGGCUAAUCCUGGUCGGACAUCAGGAGGUUAGUGCAAUGGCAUAAGCCAGCUUGACUGCGAGCGUGACGGCGCGAGCAGGUGCGAAAGCAGGUCAUAGUGAUCCGGUGGUUCUGAAUGGAAGGGCCAUCGCUCAACGGAUAAAAGGUACUCCGGGGAUAACAGGCUGAUACCGCCCAAGAGUUCAUAUCGACGGCGGUGUUUGGCACCUCGAUGUCGGCUCAUCACAUCCUGGGGCUGAAGUAGGUCCCAAGGGUAUGGCUGUUCGCCAUUUAAAGUGGUACGCGAGCUGGGUUUAGAACGUCGUGAGACAGUUCGGUCCCUAUCUGCCGUGGGCGCUGGAGAACUGAGGGGGGCUGCUCCUAGUACGAGAGGACCGGAGUGGACGCAUCACUGGUGUUCGGGUUGUCAUGCCAAUGGCACUGCCCGGUAGCUAAAUGCGGAAGAGAUAAGUGCUGAAAGCAUCUAAGCACGAAACUUGCCCCGAGAUGAGUUCUCCCUGACCCUUUAAGG